ACAGCCACCCUGAACCUGCCCCAUCUCAUCUAAUCACACAAGCUAAGCAGGGUUGGGCCUGGUUAGUGCUUGGAUGGGGACCGCCUGGGAGUACCCGGUGCUGUC
RNAcentral lists this ribosomal RNA (105 nucleotides) under Echinops telfairi (small Madagascar hedgehog). The record is from RNAcentral. Lineage: Eukaryota; Metazoa; Chordata; Mammalia; Afrosoricida; Tenrecidae.